Long non-coding RNA from Eriocheir sinensis (Chinese mitten crab), 1821 nucleotides. RefSeq lists it as uncharacterized. The transcript has 5 exons. The record is from RefSeq and is a predicted model, not a curated record. NCBI's taxonomy places the organism in Eukaryota, Metazoa, Arthropoda, Malacostraca, Decapoda, Varunidae.
UGUUGUUAUUUUAUUUUGUUAUUUUGUUUUUCUUUUCUUUCUUUUUCUUUUUCUUUCUUUUCUUUCGUGUUUUUCCUUGCUGUUAUUUUCUUUUUGAUGUUUCUCUUUGAUGUUCUUUUCUAUAUCAUCCUUUUGUUGAUGUUCUUCGAUGGUCUGGGUGAGCCGCUUUCCUCCCAGAAGAGACCCACCCAGAAUUUUGGUGAUGUUACUUAGGGCCGAAAGAUGGAUGAUGUUUUUUUGUAUUUUUCUUUCCUUUAUGUUGUUCUUAUAUUGAUGUUACUUUUCUUUUUCGAUGUUUUUUCUUUUCUUUUUCUCUUUUUCAUUCUUUCUUGAUGUUCUUUUCUAUAUCAUCCCUUGUUGAUGUUCUUUGGUCUGGGUGAGCCUUUUUCUCCCCAGAAGAGACCCACCCAGAAUUUUAGUGAUGUUACUGAGGGCCGAAAGGUGGAUGAUGUUUCUUAUGUUUUUCUUUUCUUGAUGUCGUGGUUUUCUUGUUGUUCUUUUUAUUGAUGUUAUUUUUUUCGAUAUUUUUUUCUUUUCUAUCUCUUUUUCAUUCUUUCUUGAUGUUCAUUUCUCUAUCAUCCUUUUGUUGAUGUUCAUUGAUGGUCUGGGUGAGCCGCUUUCCUCCCAGAAGAGACCCACCCAUAAUUUUGGUGAUGUUACUGAGGGCCGAAAGGUGGAUGAUGUUUCUUUGUAUUUUUCUUUUCCUGAUGUUGUUCUUUUAUUGCAGUUACUUUUCUUUUUCGAUGUUUUUUCUUUUCUGUUAUUCUUUUUCAUUCUUUCUUGAUGUUCUUUUCUAUAUCAUCCCUUGUUGAUGUUCUUUGGUCUGGGUGAGCCUUUUUCUCCCCAGAAGAGACCCACCCAGAAUUUUGGUGAUGUUACUGAGGGCCGAAAGGUGGAUGAUGUUUCUUUGUACUUUUCUUGAUGUUCUUUUAUUGCUGUUACUUUUCUUUUUCGAUGUUAUUUCUGUUCGUUUUCUUUUCAGCAUUUCUCGGUGUUCUAUUCUAUAUCAUCCGUUUGUUGAUGUUCCUUGGUCUGGAUGAGCCUUUUUCUCCCCAGAAAAGACCCAUCCAUAAUUUUGUCAAUGUUAAUUAGGGCCUGAAGGUGGAUGAUCUGUGUUUGCUUUUUCUGGUGUUCUUUUUCCUUUUCCUUUUCUUUUGUGUUCCCAAAACGUGGAUUGUCUACGACAUCUAACGAGCACCACAAGCCCGGGUUUGUUGUUCGGAGUUUGCUCUCCUAGGUGAACUGCCUACCACGGCUAACGAGCUCCACCUGCCCGGGUUUGUUGUUCGGAGUUUGCUCUCCUAGGCGAAUUGCCUACCACAGCUAACGAGCUCCACCUGCCCGGGUUUGUUUAGAGUUUGCUCUCCUAGGUGAACUGCCUACCACGGCUAACGAGCUCCACCUGCCCGGGUUUGUUUAGAGUUUGCUCUCCUAGGCAGAUUGCCUACCACGGCUAACGAGCUCCACCUGCCCGGGUUUGUUUAGAGUUUGCUCUCCUAGGUGAACUGCCUACCACGGCUAACGAGCUCCACCUGCCCGGGUUUGUUGUUCGGAGUUUGCUCUCCUAGGUGAACUGCCUACCACGGCUAACGAGCUCCACCUGCCCGGGUUUGUUUAGAGUUUGCUCUCCUAGGUGAACUGCCUACCACGGCUAACGAGCUCCACCUGCCCGGGUUUAUUGUUCGGAGUUUGCUCUCCUAGGUGAACUGCCUACCACGGCUAACGAGCUCCACCUGCCCGGGUUUGUUGUUCGGAGUUUGCUCUCCUAGGUGAACUGCCUACCACGGCUAACGAGCUCCACCUGCCCGGGUUUGUUUAGAG